This 212-nucleotide unclassified non-coding RNA is filed under the name plant metagenome. Its description in RNAcentral is "partial contains small subunit ribosomal RNA, internal transcribed spacer 1, and 5.8S ribosomal RNA". The record is from RNAcentral.
UCUCCGUUGGUGAACCAGCGGAGGGAUCAUUACAGGAUCGAGAGACUCCUAUAACCCCUGUGAACUUACUACAAAUACGUUGCUUCGGCGGGUGCCCCGGGUCUCCCGGGGCGUUCAGCCCGCCGGCAGCCUUCAAAUUCUGUUUCUUUGCGUUGGCAUCUCGAGUAUACAAAAAUAAGUUAAAACUUUCAACAACGGAUCUCUUGGUUCUG